This is a long non-coding RNA of Panicum virgatum (switchgrass), 716 nucleotides long. RefSeq lists it as uncharacterized. NCBI's taxonomy places the organism in Eukaryota, Viridiplantae, Streptophyta, Magnoliopsida, Poales, Poaceae. The record is from RefSeq and is a predicted model, not a curated record. The transcript is spliced from 2 exons.
AAGUCUGCUCGGGAGCAGUCGGAAAAGGUCAAGCUUCUGGAGGCCCGGGUGGAGAUUUUGGAGCAGGACAAUUCUUCUCUGAAGGAUAAGGCCUCCAAGUUGCAGGAGAAGGUCAAGGCUGCUGCCAAGGAGUAGAAAGAUGUUGUGGAGAAGCUGUCCAAGUUCAAGGCUGAUGCUGAUAAGCAAAUGAUCAGUGAUAUGAACCAGAUCAGAGACUUGGCGGCUGAUCGUGAUCAGAAAGCUCAGCAACUUGCUGAUCUUGAGGCGGCGGCUCAAGUAGUCGUCGGGAUGGUCGAGGAUGAAGAAGCUGGCGAGAGGAGUUUGCUGGAGCGUCUUCGUGAAACCUCCAGUGACUCAGCAGCUUCUUCUCCGAUACUUCUAGGGAUCACUUGGCUCAUGCCUUAGGAUUAGUUAAGUCCUUUCUUCCUUCCGUGAACUUGUCCUUUAUUGGCGAUGGGGUUACCAUUGGCUAUUCGGAGGAGCAAUUCUCUGAAUAUGUCACGGAGAUGAAGCCUGUUGCUGAUAAGGUUAUCAGCAGCUUGGAGCCUGCGCCAGAGGCUUGAACAGUUGUUGUAAUAUCCUCUUGGUUUUUGUUUGGAUGUGAAUCCUCUUGAGUACUUUUAACAUUCUGAUGUAUAGUACUUUUUCCUUUUAUUUGACGGUCGGUUGGUUGGUUGCCUUUUUUAUGAAGCUUGUCAUCGGCUAUUCUUGAAUCA